Molecule: ribosomal RNA, 550 nt
Filed under: uncultured bacterium
Lineage: Bacteria
Description: bacterial SSU rRNA
Rfam family: Bacterial small subunit ribosomal RNA
Source: RNAcentral
UAGGGAAUCUUCGGCAAUGGGGGCAACCCUGACCGAGCAACGCCGCGUGAGUGAAGAAGGUUUUCGGAUCGUAAAGCUCUGUUGUAAGUCAAGAACGAGUGUGAGAGUGGAAAGUUCACACUGUGACGGUAGCUUACCAGAAAGGGACGGCUAACUACGUGCCAGCAGCCGCGGUAAUACGUAGGUCCCGAGCGUUGUCCGGAUUUAUUGGGCGUAAAGCGAGCGCAGGCGGUUUGAUAAGUCUGAAGUUAAAGGCUGUGGCUCAACCAUAGUUCGCUUUGGAAACUGUCAAACUUGAGUGCAGAAGGGGAGAGUGAAAUUCCAUGUGUAGCGGUGAAAUGCGUAGAUAUAUGGAGGAACACCGGUGGCGAAAGCGGCUCUCUGGUCUGUAACUGACGCUGAGGCUCGAAAGCGUGGGGAGCGAACAGGAUUAGAUACCCUGGUAGUCCACGCCGUAAACGAUGAGUGCUAGGUGUUGGAUCCUUUCCGGGAUUCAGUGCCGCAGCUAACGCAUUAAGCACUCCGCCUGGGGAGUACGACCGCAAGGUUG